This 75-nucleotide transfer RNA is filed under the name Candidatus Parcubacteria bacterium. Its description in RNAcentral is "tRNA-Glu". It matches the Rfam family "tRNA". From Rfam's summary of the family: Transfer RNA (tRNA) molecules are approximately 80 nucleotides in length. Their secondary structure includes four short double-helical elements and three loops (D, anti-codon, and T loops). Further hydrogen bonds mediate the characteristic L-shaped molecular structure. tRNAs have two regions of fundamental functional importance: the anti-codon, which is responsible for specific mRNA codon recognition, and the 3' end, to which the tRNAs corresponding amino acid is attached (by aminoacyl-tRNA synthetases). tRNAs cope with the degeneracy of the genetic code in two manners: having more than one tRNA (with a specific anti-codon) for a particular amino acid; and 'wobble' base-pairing, i.e. permitting non-standard base-pairing at the 3rd anti-codon position. The record is from RNAcentral. Lineage: Bacteria; Candidatus Parcubacteria.
GGCCCUAUCGUCUAAAGGCAAGGACGUCACUCUUUCAAGGUGGAAAUCCGGGUUCGAUUCCCGGUAGGGCCGCCA